Long non-coding RNA from Eutrema salsugineum, 207 nucleotides. RefSeq lists it as uncharacterized. The transcript has 3 exons. NCBI's taxonomy places the organism in Eukaryota, Viridiplantae, Streptophyta, Magnoliopsida, Brassicales, Brassicaceae. The record is from RefSeq and is a predicted model, not a curated record.
UUUUAUUGUGGCUGGAUUCGGUAACUUACCUGGUGAUAUGAAGCAUACUAGCUUAACAUUGAAAGAAAAAGAUAUCGCUGUUACCAACGUCAAGAUUGAUUUAGCUCGUGGAAGAGAAAUCCUCUUGAAUGGUUUUCGACCCAUUCAAAACUAUCUAAAGAAUAUAAGAAGAUAAGUUUUCAAUUUAUACACCUGCUCAUUUAAUUC